Cebus imitator (Panamanian white-faced capuchin) is the source of this 105-nucleotide small nuclear RNA. NCBI's taxonomy places the organism in Eukaryota, Metazoa, Chordata, Mammalia, Primates, Cebidae. The record is from RefSeq and is a predicted model, not a curated record.
AUACCCACUUCAGCAACACAUACUAAAAUUGGUACCAUGCAGAGAAGAUUAGCAUGACACCCGUGCAAAGAGGACAUGCAAAUUCGUGAUGUAUUGAUUAAAAAU